UAAAGCGUGCGCAGGCGGUUUUGUAAGACUGUCGUGAAAUCCCCGGGCUCAACCUGGGAAUGGCGAUGGUGACUGCAAGGCUAGAGUUUGGCAGAGGGGGUAGAAUUCCACGUGUAGCAGUGAAAUGCGUAGAUAUGUGGAGGAACACCGAUGGCGAAGGCAGCCCCCUGGGUCAAAACUGACGCUCAUGCACGAAAGCGUGGGGAGCAAACAGGAUUAGAUACCCCUGU
RNAcentral lists this ribosomal RNA (230 nucleotides) under uncultured bacterium. Its description in RNAcentral is "partial 16S ribosomal RNA". It matches the Rfam family "Bacterial small subunit ribosomal RNA", at positions 561 to 791 of the family's 1533-position model. The record is from RNAcentral.